This 71-nucleotide transfer RNA is filed under the name Loxodonta africana (African savanna elephant). It matches the Rfam family "tRNA". Rfam says of the family: Transfer RNA (tRNA) molecules are approximately 80 nucleotides in length. Lineage: Eukaryota; Metazoa; Chordata; Mammalia; Proboscidea; Elephantidae. The record is from Rfam by way of RNAcentral.
GCAGUGGUGGUUCAGUGAUAGAAUUCUUGUCUCCCAUGCAGGAGACCCAGAUUUGAUUCUCAGCCACUGCA